AACGAACGCUGGCGGCAGGCCUAACACAUGCAAGUCGAACGCUCCGCAAGGGGGAGUGGCGCACGGGUGAGUAACACGUGGGAACCUACCUUCUGGUACGGAACAACCAAGGGAAACUUUGGCUAAGACCGUAUACGACCUCCGGGUGAAAGAUUGAUCGCCGGAAGAGGGGCCCGCGUCCGAUUAGGUAGUUGGUGAGGUAACGGCUCACCAAGCCUUCGAUCGGUAGCUGGUCUGAGAGGAUGACCAGCCACACUGGGACUGAGACACGGCCCAGACUCCUACGGGAGGCAGCAGUGGGGAAUAUUGCGCAAUGGGCGAAAGCCUGACGCAGCGACGCCGCGUGUGGGAUGACGGCCUCGGUUG
RNAcentral lists this ribosomal RNA (366 nucleotides) under uncultured bacterium. Its description in RNAcentral is "bacterial SSU rRNA". It matches the Rfam family "Bacterial small subunit ribosomal RNA", at positions 29 to 425 of the family's 1533-position model. The record is from RNAcentral.